This 253-nucleotide ribosomal RNA is filed under the name uncultured bacterium. RNAcentral's name for it is "partial 16S ribosomal RNA". It matches the Rfam family "Bacterial small subunit ribosomal RNA", at positions 524 to 776 of the family's 1533-position model. The record is from RNAcentral.
UACGUAGGGGGCAAGCGUUGUCCGGAAUCAUUGGGCGUAAAGCGCGUGUAGGCGGCUGACUAAGUCCGCUCUGAAAGCCCGGGGCUCAACCCCGGGAGGCGGGUGGAUACUGGUCAGCUCGAGUCCGGAAGAGGAGUGUGGAAUUCCUGGUGUAGUGGUGAAAUGCGCAGAUAUCAGGAGGAACACCAAUGGCGAAGGCAGCACUCUGGGACGGUACUGACGCUGAGACGCGAAAGCGUGGGGAGCAAACAGG